RNAcentral lists this ribosomal RNA (2244 nucleotides) under Bacillus sp. FJAT-44742. Its description in RNAcentral is "bacterial LSU rRNA". It matches the Rfam family "Bacterial large subunit ribosomal RNA", at positions 695 to 2925 of the family's 2925-position model. Lineage: Bacteria; Bacillati; Bacillota; Bacilli; Caryophanales; Bacillaceae. The record is from RNAcentral.
CAUAGUACGUGGUCGUAGACCCGAAACCGUGUGAUCUACCCAUGUCCAGGGUGAAGACAGGGUAACACCUGUUGGAGGCCCGAACCCACGCAAGUUGAAAAUUGCGGGGAUGAGGUGUGGGUAGCGGUGAAAUGCCAAUCGAACUCGGAGAUAGCUGGUUCUCCCCGAAAUAGCUUUAGGGCUAGCCUCGAGUUAGAGUCCUGGAGGUAGAGCACUGAUUGGACUAGGGGUCCCUACAGGAUUACCGAAUUCAGUCAAACUCCGAAUGCCAGAGACUUAUUUCUCGGGAGUCAGACUGCGAGUGCUAAGAUCCGUAGUCAAGAGGGAAACAGCCCAGAUCACCAGCUAAGGUCCCCAAGUAUACGUUAAGUGGAAAAGGAUGUGGAGUUGCUUAGACAACUAGGAUGUUGGCUUAGAAGCAGCCAUCAUUGAAAGAGUGCGUAAUAGCUCACUAGUCGAGUGACUCUGCGCCGAAAAUGUACCGGGGCUAAACGUAUCACCGAAGCUGUGAAUGAACACCAUCAGGUGUUCGUGGUAGGGGAGCGUUCAAAGGGCUGAGAAGCUGGAUCGUGAGGACCAGUGGAGCGCUUUGAAGUGAGAAUGCCGGUAUGAGUAACGAAAAGAAGGGUGAGAAUCCCUUCCGUCGAAAACCUAAGGUUUCCUGAGGAAGGUUCGUCCGCUCAGGGUUAGUCGGGUCCUAAGCCGAGGCUGAAAAGCGUAGGCGAUGGGAAACAGGUUGAAAUUCCUGUACCACCUCCUCACCAUUUGAGUAAUGGGGGGACGCAGAAAGGUAGGGUAAGCGCGCUGUUGGAUAUGCGCGUCCAAGCAGGUAGGCUGAGAAGCAGGCAAAUCCGCUUCUUGUAAGGCUGAGCUGUGAUGGCGAGGGAAAUCAUAGUACCGAAGUUCCUGAUCCUACACUGCCAAGAAAAGCCUCUAGCGAGGUGAGAGGUGCCCGUACCGCAAACCGACACAGGUAGGUGGGAUGAGAAUUCUAAGACGCUCGGGAGAACUCUCGUUAAGGAACUCGGCAAAAUGACCCCGUAACUUCGGGAGAAGGGGUGCUCUCUAGGGUGUUAAAGCCCCGGAGAGCCGCAGUGAAAAGGCCCAAGCGACUGUUUAUCAAAAACACAGGUCUCUGCGAAGCCGCAAGGCGAAGUAUAGGGGCUGACACCUGCCCGGUGCUGGAAGGUUAAGAGGAGAGGUUAUCCCCUUCGGGGAGAAGCUUCGAAUUGAAGCCCCAGUAAACGGCGGCCGUAACUAUAACGGUCCUAAGGUAGCGAAAUUCCUUGUCGGGUAAGUUCCGACCCGCACGAAAGGUGCAACGACUUGGGCACUGUCUCAACGAGAGACCCGGUGAAAUUAUAUUACCUGUGAAGAUGCAGGUUACCCGCGACAGGACGGAAAGACCCCAUGGAGCUUUACUGUAGCUUGAUAUUGGAUUUUGGUACAGCUUGUACAGGAUAGGUAGGAGCCUUGGAAACCGGACCGCCAGGUUCGGUGGAGGCGCUGGUGGGAUACUACCCUGGCUGUACUGAAAUUCUAACCUCGGACCGUGAUCCGGUUCAGGGACAGUGUCAGGUGGGCAGUUUGACUGGGGCGGUCGCCUCCUAAACAGUAACGGAGGCGCCCAAAGGUUCCCUCAGAAUGGUUGGAAAUCAUUCGAAGAGUGCAAAGGCAAAAGGGAGCUUGACUGCGAGACCUACAAGUCGAGCAGGGACGAAAGUCGGGCUUAGUGAUCCGGCGGUACCGUAUGGAAGGGCCGUCGCUCAACGGAUAAAAGCUACCCUGGGGAUAACAGGCUAAUCUCUCCCAAGAGUUCACAUCGACGGGGAGGUUUGGCACCUCGAUGUCGGCUCGUCGCAUCCUGGGGCUGAAGUAGGUCCCAAGGGUUGGGCUGUUCGCCCAUUAAAGCGGCACGCGAGCUGGGUUCAGAACGUCGUGAGACAGUUCGGUCCCUAUCCGUCGCGGGCGCAGGAAAUUUGAGAGGAGCUGUCCUUAGUACGAGAGGACCGGGAUGGACACACCGCUGGUGUACCAGUUGUUCCGCCAGGAGCAUAGCUGGGUAGCUACGUGUGGACGGGAUAAGUGCUGAAAGCAUCUAAGCAUGAAGCCCCCCUCAAGAUGAGAUUUCCCAUAGCGCCAAGCUAGUAAGACCCCUUGAAGAUGACAAGGUUGAUAGGUCUGAGGUGGACGCGUGGCGACACGUGAAGCUGACAGAUACUAAUCGGUCGAGGGCUUAUCCUA